Molecule: long non-coding RNA, 644 nt
Organism: Brachypodium distachyon (stiff brome)
Lineage: Eukaryota; Viridiplantae; Streptophyta; Magnoliopsida; Poales; Poaceae
Exons: 2
Source: RefSeq, a predicted model, not a curated record
UCUAACGUCUCGCCUACCACGUCUCUGCAGCCUGCGCCGCCCCUCUUCCCUCCGCCUCUUACCCGGCGAGAGCCGCCGCCCUUGGCCGAGUGAACAGGCAACAGGGGCUGAGCCUCCUCCAUUACUUACCGCUCGUCCGUCCUUGCUGCUUUGCCGCCGCCGCCGCCGCUUCUCCAGCGCCCCAAAUCCCUGCCCGUGCGACCUUCCGCCGCCGCCCAGCCACUAAUUUGUGCUUUGGCUCCUCCUCCACCAUCCUAUACGGCCUGGAGAAUCGAAGUCCAUUCAGACCCAGUUAUCCCGGAUGAUGUUGUCUCAAAGCCAGCGAAAAGCAGCAGGAAGAUCAAAUUCAGUGCAAAAUUCUCGCUCAUUGCAGGCUUCUCCUCUGUAAGUACAUCGAUCAGGAGAUCGAUGAAGUCAACUCUUUCCUGUCGAGCUGCCUUCUUUCUUUCAUCGAGAAGUUUGUUUAGUAUCUUCAUGACCUCCUUUCGCCCCUAGGAUCGAUAUAUAGAACAAGUUUGUUUAGUCAACUGUCCCCGUACGUACAUGUUGUUUGUGAAAUACAAAUAUGUAUAUCAGGAUUACCUGCAUACAUUUGUAGAAUGCUGUGCCAGGAAUGUAAAGUGGAAAUGCCAGUAGUCCCUGAA